GGGCUGUUGGCGCAGUUGGUAGCGCGCUGCCAUCGCAAGGCAGAGGUCACCGGUUCGAUUCCGGUACGGUCCA
This is a transfer RNA of 73 nucleotides. It matches the Rfam family "tRNA". From Rfam's summary of the family: Transfer RNA (tRNA) molecules are approximately 80 nucleotides in length. Their secondary structure includes four short double-helical elements and three loops (D, anti-codon, and T loops). Further hydrogen bonds mediate the characteristic L-shaped molecular structure. tRNAs have two regions of fundamental functional importance: the anti-codon, which is responsible for specific mRNA codon recognition, and the 3' end, to which the tRNAs corresponding amino acid is attached (by aminoacyl-tRNA synthetases). tRNAs cope with the degeneracy of the genetic code in two manners: having more than one tRNA (with a specific anti-codon) for a particular amino acid; and 'wobble' base-pairing, i.e. permitting non-standard base-pairing at the 3rd anti-codon position.